RNAcentral lists this long non-coding RNA (1268 nucleotides) under Zea mays. RNAcentral's name for it is "long non-coding RNA (ZMAY_LNC004374)". Lineage: Eukaryota; Viridiplantae; Streptophyta; Magnoliopsida; Poales; Poaceae. The record is from RNAcentral.
GUGAAUACCUUAUGGUGGCUGAUAGUUUGUGCAAUUGAAGUAAGUUAGCCAUGCCUGUACACAGUUUAUUGACAUUUCAGUUUUCAUGUACAUUGCUGGUAUAUAACUUUUAAAAGAGAGCGAAAUCUUUGUUUUUGUGUACAAGUUGGAGGGUUUUUUGUUAGUGGAUUGGUUUCAAGCAGCAUUUAGGGUGCUUUAUGUUUGAUAUCACCUGUCGGAAAGAUGUUUCAUUCUCAGAAGCCAUCCUGAUUUCUGUGUGUACUUUUCAGGAUUCUGGGGAGAGCGCCCAGGCAUGGUGGACUUACUGAUAAGCUGCACUGCCAUGUAAGUACUUUGAACUUGAUAUGUUUCCAAAAUUGUAAAGGUUUCUUAGUGGUGAAUUUUUAUGAUUGAAAUCUACCUGCUGGUGUGCUUCUAGUGCAUGCUUUGUUCCUCUUUACUCUUUAGGUGUAAAUUGAUGUGAUUCAAACAUAGUACUCAACUAGGGUUCUAUUGUUGGGAAGUCUAGGCUUGCUGCCAGUUCCUGAACUUAAGCAAAUCUUGUAGUCAAGUUUUAACCCUGUAUAUGCUGUCUUGUUUUUCAUUUCAAUUUAAACAGUAAUGCAGUUCAGACCACAUGUCAUACACACACAAAAAAUCCCUAUAUGCCACUCCAUGGCACACAAGGGAUGAAAAUAAAUUUUGAUGGCAUUACAGGAAUUAGUCAUAUGCAAUACGAGAACCAAUAGUUUGAAAUAUCCUUCCUUUUGAAAAAAAGUACUCUACAAUAUCUGGAUCUACAAUUCAGAUUUCAACUGACUUUCAUGCUGGGUAUGUCAUGCAAUGCAACAACUGAUAAGUCUACAAUAUCAAAAUGUGCAAUUCAGACUUCCACUGCUUUUCACUUUGUAUGUUUUAUAAUAUGCAGCUUAUAUUAGGGUAUCCCUUAGAAUGCUUUGUCCUAAGCAACUUCAUUGAUGCAGCAGAUGGGCAUUGCUGUUGUCGUUAAAAGGCAGCAGAUGCUAGAAUGAUUUUUUUGUGGAAGAUUCGAAAAUGAUUAAUUUGGAGAGAAAAGGUACAAAAUAGCAUUCUAGCGUGUGACACCAGUUCGAUAAUGGCAAUUGGGCGAAUCCCAAUUGUGCGGGAUGGUAAACAAGCAGAACCUAAGUUUGGUAAUGGCAAAAUCCCAAUUUUCUCUCUGUUUGAACUUUGAACUGUGUGCUUUCUCAUGUAAAGAAAACUGUGAAUUCUGUUGUCAAGGAGCCUAUUUGUGCAUAGGAAUAAACUAG